Molecule: ribosomal RNA, 444 nt
Filed under: Cryptosporidium scrofarum
Lineage: Eukaryota; Apicomplexa; Conoidasida; Eucoccidiorida; Cryptosporidiidae
Description: SSU rRNA
Rfam family: Eukaryotic small subunit ribosomal RNA
Source: RNAcentral
GCGGAUCACGUUAUGUGACAUAUCAUUCAAGUUUCUGACCUAUCAGCUUUAGACGGUAGGGUAUUGGCCUACCGUGGCUAUGACGGGUAACGGGGAAUUAGGGUUCGAUUCCGGAGAGGGAGCCUGAGAAACGGCUACCACAUCUAAGGAAGGCAGCAGGCGCGCAAAUUACCCAAUCCUAAUACAGGGAGGUAGUGACAAGAAAUAACAAUACAGAACCUCACGGUUUUGUAAUUGGAAUGAGUUAAGUAUAAACCCCUUAACGAGUAUCAAUUGGAGGGCAAGUCUGGUGCCAGCAGCCGCGGUAAUUCCAGCUCCAAUAGCGUAUAUUAAAGUUGUUGCAGUUAAAAAGCUCGUAGUUGAUUUUCUGUUAAUUUUUAUGUAUAAUAUUGCGAUAUUUACAUAAUAUUAACAUAAUUCACAUUACUUUACAGUAUGUGGAAA